AUGAUGUGUCUCCAUCCCACUGAGUCCUUUGGGGAAAUCGUCCUGACUCAGUCUCCAGGAUCUCAGUCUGUUUCUCCAGGACAAUCUGUUACUCUCACCUGUACAGCCAGUCAGAGUGUUGGCGGUGCCCUCGCCUGGUACCUGCAGAAACCUGGAGAAGCUCCUAAACUCCUGAUCUAUGCUGCAUCUACUCGUCAGUCUGGGAUUCCAGGUCGUUUCAGUGGCAGUGGAUCUGGUUCACAAUUUAAUCUAAAAAUCUCUGGAGUUCAGUCUGAAGAUGCAGGAGAUUAUAACUGUCAACAGUAUAGCAGCUAUCUGUACACACAGUGUUAUAGCGCCGUACAAAAACCUCCCUCAGCUGUAGAGGAAGUGUUCUGA
Molecule: non-coding RNA, 378 nt
Organism: Neoarius graeffei (lesser salmon catfish)
Lineage: Eukaryota; Metazoa; Chordata; Actinopteri; Siluriformes; Ariidae
Source: the annotation of a RefSeq genome assembly